UGUGACCUGUAAAAUUAUGGUUGCCUUGGUGAAACCAUAGUAACUCAAAACUCUAUAAUCUGUGAGAGUCUUCACAGCCUCAGAAUGCUUAAAUUGCCUAGUUUGGUGCUGUUCUUUCAUUUGUUUGAUCAUGUGGUUGCCCAGGAGGUGCAUUCCCUGAUAACAUCUCCAUCACAUUUUGAAAGACACCACUUAGUUCCUGAGGGAUUUGAUCAGAAUUUAAAUUAACAUUGCCCCCGAAUUGAAUAUCGGGUUCGUUAUCUUCACUACUAUUGGCAUCUUCAUGACUUCCAUUCAUCUGAUCAUGCGGUUGCCCAGGAGGUGCAUUCCCUGAAAACAUAUGCAUCACGGAUUGAAAGGCACCUCUUAGUUCCUGAGGAAUUUGAUCUUGGUUUACAUUAACGUUGCCCCCAAAUCGAAUUUCCGGUUCAUUAGCUCCACUACUAUUGGCAUCUUCUUGACCUUCCUGAGAAUGUGACCCCUGAC
Molecule: long non-coding RNA, 486 nt
Filed under: Medicago truncatula (barrel medic)
Lineage: Eukaryota; Viridiplantae; Streptophyta; Magnoliopsida; Fabales; Fabaceae
Description: long non-coding RNA (MTRU_LNC000451)
Source: RNAcentral